AAAUUAAACACAUCCAUAUGAAGGGAGACGCCAUUUACAUCCCAUGGGAUAAUAGCAAGUACGUGUCUCUUUUUCCUGGCAUCUAAUAACACCUGAUGAAUCGGUUGACUUACUCCUUCCACCAACUUUUAAAUUUUUUAAACAUAUCUCGAAGCUCCAAAGGAAGGGCAAUGAACAAGAAACCCAACCAAAAAAUUCCGCCAGUCAGCCAAGAGAAA
This 218-nucleotide unclassified non-coding RNA is filed under the name Hevea brasiliensis (rubber tree). The record is from RNAcentral. Lineage: Eukaryota; Viridiplantae; Streptophyta; Magnoliopsida; Malpighiales; Euphorbiaceae.